GAUGAACGCUGGCGGCGUGCCUAAUACAUGCAAGUCGAGCGAACAGACGAGGAGCUUGCUCCUCUGACGUUAUCGGCGGACGGGUGAUUAACACGUGGUUAACCUAACUAUAAGACAGGGAUAACUUUGGGAAACCGGAGCUACUACCGGAAAAUAUAUUGAAUCUCAUGGUUCAAUAGUUAAAGAAGGUUUUGCUGUCACUUAUAGAUGGAUCCGCGUGUCAUUACUUAGUUGGUAGGGUAACGGCUUACCAAGGCGACGAUGGUUAGCCGCCCUGAGAGGGUCAACGGCCAGACGGGAGCAGAGGCAGAGUCCCGACUCCGACAGGGGGCAGCGGUCGAGACUCCUACGCGAUGGAGGAGAGCCUAACAGAGCAAAGUCGCGUAAGUGAUGAUGGUCUUCGGCCCGUAGAACUCUGUUGUUAGGAAGGAACUAAUGUGUAAGUACCUAUGCACGUCUUGACGGUACCUAAUCAGAAAGCCACGGCUAACUACGUG
RNAcentral lists this ribosomal RNA (497 nucleotides) under uncultured bacterium. RNAcentral's name for it is "partial 16S ribosomal RNA". It matches the Rfam family "Bacterial small subunit ribosomal RNA", at positions 28 to 507 of the family's 1533-position model. The record is from RNAcentral.